RNAcentral lists this ribosomal RNA (114 nucleotides) under Oryctolagus cuniculus (rabbit). Lineage: Eukaryota; Metazoa; Chordata; Mammalia; Lagomorpha; Leporidae. The record is from RNAcentral.
GUCUAUGGUCAUACCACCCUGAACACACCAGAGCUCGUCUGAUCUCCAAAGCUAUGCAGGGUUGGGCCUGGUUAGUACUUGGGUGGGAGAACUCCAUCCUGAUCUCCAAAGGGG